This 594-nucleotide ribosomal RNA is filed under the name Symphorus nematophorus (chinamanfish). Its description in RNAcentral is "partial 16S ribosomal RNA". It matches the Rfam family "Bacterial large subunit ribosomal RNA", at positions 1808 to 2608 of the family's 2925-position model. The record is from RNAcentral. Lineage: Eukaryota; Metazoa; Chordata; Actinopteri; Lutjaniformes; Lutjanidae.
CAAAAACAUCGCCUCUUGCAAAAUUAAUGAAUAAGAGGUCCCGCCUGCCCUGUGACUAUAUGUUUAACGGCCGCGGUAUUCUGACCGUGCGAAGGUAGCGCAAUCACUUGUCUCUUAAAUGGAGACCUGUAUGAAUGGCAUAACGAGGGCUUGACUGUCUCCUUUUUCAAGUCAGUGAAAUUGAUCUUCCCGUGCAGAAGCGGGAAUAACUACAUAAGACGAGAAGACCCUAUGGAGCUUUAGACACUAAAGCAGAUCAUGUCAAACACCCCAGAACAAAGGACCAAACCAAAUGAAUCCUGCCCGAAUGUCUUUGGUUGGGGCGACCAUGGGGAACACAAAACCCCCACGUGGAAUGAGAGUACCUCUCUUACAGCCAAGAGCUCCCACUCUAGCAAGCAGAAUUUCUGACCAAAAAUGAUCCGGCAAAGCCGAUCAACGGACCCAGUUACCCUAGGGAUAACAGCGCAAUCCUCUUUGAGAGCCCAUAUCGACAAGGGGGUUUACGACCUCGAUGUUGGAUCAGGACAUCCUAAUGGUGCAGCCGCUAUUAAGGGUUCGUUUGUUCAACGAUUAAAGUCCUACGUGAUCUGA